ACAGGGACAGAGCCAACAAAUGGAAGGAGCUUUGUAAACAGACUUUGAAUUUGGAGAUACCUGAAUGCGUUAAAAAGGAAAAGUGUCGCUUUAUGUGGACUUUGGGGAAUUCUUUUAAGUCUAAAGAAGCUUUUUUUCUCCUCUGUGAUGUUUUAGGUUCCAUCUAGGACUUUUGAUUGAAGAAAUGGCUUCAGUUAACUUCACCUCCUUCUGAACCGUCUAUUUUAAACAUGGAAAAAAGUAUUAUUCCAGCUGUGUAAUGAUCGUGGCUCCAGUUAUGUCAUCAUCUUGAAACAAAUCUUGCUGUCUCAUUGGCGGGCUUCCUGACGUGAGCGCUCCCUGCUGGACUACAAGCUGAACUAACAGCUGGAACAUUACUUUUUUGUCCAUGUUUGAACCAAAGUACACAUUUUGAACAAACUGUAACAGCCUUGCUGCGUCUCAGUAUGUGUUUACAUCUACGUCUUUAUCUCUUUUGUGUUUCUGUUUUGAGCAUUGGUGUAUCUGUUCAGCCGCCCCUCCACCUUCACCUGAUCUUUUUCCGACUCUGUGAAAGUUCUCAUGUCGUCCCUUUCAAGCCGCUCAGGUUAACAGUUCAAGGUUGCACUUCAACAGCAGGUGAAGUGAAGUAAAGAUGGGUGGGAAAAAAAAUCAGAGCGCUGGGGUCAUUCUGUGCGUGUCCUACACUUUCUAAAGCACCGACGGCACUGCAGGAUGUGUUUUCACCUGAAUGGGAUCUUCUCAGUCCCCAUUCUCUUCUCCUCCUCUGGCUCGGAACAUACGGAGGGUUUAGCCACAAACACAGCCAUUGUGUCAUGCCAAGAUAAAUAAUGCUCAGUUUGGAAUUGCUUUCACACUCAAGCGCUCAUAUUUGAUUAAACCGCAGCCUCCUGAUAACAAGCGUACCAUGUGCAUCAUCCUUCAAAAUGUUACCUCUCUUCCCAGAUGAAGUAAUUGAUUCCACGGCUGUACGUAUGCCACAGAAUGCCUGACAUCUAGGCAUUUAGAAGCAUAUUGAUGUCCCACUUUACAUCCACAGAUUUUCGAUGGAAACAGUAAAGCUUUUUACAGUAUGUGGAAAUAAUUUGUUUGGGGGGGAAUUCAUAUUUUGUUACCAGCCACCAGCAGUCCUGAUCAAUGCUGCCUCUUAGUAAUCUCACCCUCAAACCUGAUGCAAGUGAGACGUUCUUAUUCCAAAAAUAUGGUGUGAAAAUAAUACAGCUUUGAAUAU
Larimichthys crocea (large yellow croaker) is the source of this 1231-nucleotide long non-coding RNA. RefSeq lists it as uncharacterized. The transcript has 2 exons. The record is from RefSeq and is a predicted model, not a curated record. NCBI's taxonomy places the organism in Eukaryota, Metazoa, Chordata, Actinopteri, Sciaenidae.